This is a non-coding RNA of Oryctolagus cuniculus (rabbit), 3916 nucleotides long. The record is from RefSeq and is a predicted model, not a curated record. NCBI's taxonomy places the organism in Eukaryota, Metazoa, Chordata, Mammalia, Lagomorpha, Leporidae.
UCAUUGACUAAGUUACAAAAUAAGGUCACAUUUCUUUUUCUAUUCCAACCAUAGUGGUUUUUGGCUCCCAAAUACCUACUAUAAAAGGAAAUCAAAACUUUCUGUAGGUUUUCUCAACCCAAAUAACUUGGGCCAUUCUUUGGACCAUUUGUGGUUUACAAAUUGGUCCUAGGGUUUAUCUGAUCCUUGUACCACUCUGUCCUCCAGCCCUGGAAUUCCGGAACUUUCAUGCCUCCUUAUUCCAUACUAGACCGUCCUUCUCCAAGCUUAGACUCUGUUCUCUCCCUGAUUGCCUUAAAGGCGUGGUCAAGACUAAGCUACUGGCCAAAGCUCCAGUGAAAAUUCAGUAUGUAUAGAACUCCGUGAUACGAAUAAGUGGCUCCUACAUUACUGCAGUCACUUCUACAGCUCACAGAUCCCAAAGCUAACGUCAGGGUCCCUGCUUGGCUCUCAGGUGAGCCCCGUGUAGUGAUGGGAUUGACGCACCCUGUUCUCUACUUUCCACUACCACUGAUGAGAAUCUCUACACCACUUCACCAGUAGACUUGCCUCCUGAUUCUCUGGCCCAGACAGUGUUCUUCCCCAAAAUUCAAGACCCACUUUUCUUCCCCAAGCAUGAUUGAGAGUAGAAAUAGCCAGGACCUUCAAGGGAAUCAUUCCCACCCACUCACAGGUUGAAAUUCAACCUCCAUGGCUUAGAGAGCGCAAUGGUCAUACUGAUAGAGCUCAUUCCCCAGAGUCUGAGUUGUUCAUUCUUAAUGAACUCUAUGGCAGACUCAAUCCUAGACAGUCCCACAGCCGCUGUCUUUUCUCAGCCCUUCAACCACCUGUUCUGCAGUGGGCAGCUCUAGGGAGCAUUGUGCGUGCUUCUCAGAGGCUCCCAGGGGUCCACCUGGGCCCUGUGGGUGUUCAUUGCCCAGCACGACAACCUAAGUAAUGCUCACUUAUACUGGCUUUUCACCCUUUCCCUCUUUCACUCCUAAUGCUCUUUUCUGCUCUUUCUGACAUGUAGUCCUUCACUCAACGCCUUCUCUACAGGCUCUGCUUUUCCAAGGAACCCAAAUUAAGUUGGUUGACUUGUUUUGAAGAAGGAAGGACACUGAGGCUGGCCUUGUGGCUCAGUGGGAUAAGCUGCCACGUGUGACAACAGCAUUGUAUAUGGAUGCUGGCUCACAUCCAGCUGUGCUGCUUUCUGACACAGCUCCCAACUAAUGGCCUGGGAAAAGCAGUGGAAGAUAGCCCAAGUGGUCGGGCUCCAGCCACCCAGGAGGGAGACGCAGGUGAAACUCCAAGCUCCUGGCUUCAGCCUGGCCCAACCCUGGCUAUUGUAGCCAUUUGGAGAGUGAACUGGCAAAUGGAAAAUCGAUUCCUCUCUCUCUCUCUCUUUCUGCCUCCUUCCCUCCAAUUCUUACUUUCAAAUAAAUAAACAAAUAUUAAAAAGAAAUUAAGGACAUAAAGAAAGGAAGUGGUGGCAUUGUGGCAUAGUGGGUUAAGCCACCACCUGUGACAACAGCAUCCCAAAUAAGCACCGGCUCGAGCCUGACCACUCUGCUUCUGAUCCAGCUCACUGCUAACGUGGCUGGGAAAUCAGUGAAAGAUGGGUCAAGUACUAGGGACCCUGCUACGCACAUGGGAGCCAUGGUUGGAGUUCCAGGCUCCUGGCUGAGGCCUGGCACAACCCUAGCCAUUGCUGCCAUUUGAGGAGUGAACCAGCAGAUGGAAGAUAUCUCUCUCUCCCUCUCUGUUUGUAACUCUGCCUUUCAAAUAAAAUAAAUACAUCUUAAAAAGGGUGGGGGUAGUGAUGAUUUUAGGAGGUGUAAUCAACAGGAAUGAGUGAGUGUUUAGAGUGGAAGGGGAAGCAGAUGUGGCGCCCCCAUUGUCCAGAUCAAUGUCGUAUCCAUCACCACCCUAUGGAACAGGCAGUACCUGAAUGCCUUCACUCAGCCUACCCAUACUCCUUAGCUCGACAGGUGGGCUCCAAGCAGAGUGCUAAAAAGCAGAGACCCAUUUCCCUUGCAGAUGCUGCUGGGGGUUCCCUACUCCCCAUCUUCCCCUUCCAAUCAUCUCAGGAGAGCACUCCAGGAAUCUCAGAACUCUGUAUUCAGCUCUCCCAUUGGCCUCUGGGAAGUUCCGGUGAUACCGAGGGAAGACAGAAGAGAAACAAAAAAAGCCUGGGAGCAGGGUAAGGAGGAAAGCAGGAGAGAAGAAAGCGAAAGAAAAGGGAAAGGAGUGGAGGAAAUCGGGAUGGCAGGAGGGAAGGGGAAAGGGGGGCUCGGGAGCUCUUUAGGUCCUGGGUCACUCCCAGUCCUUCCUCACCAGCCUCCUCUCCCAGGAAAAUGCACAACACUGCUCAUAGAUUUUCCUCCCGCUGGAGAUAGAAGAAGCUAGUCCAGCACUUCAUCAGAAACAAAGUCGGGGUGGGUGUUGUGGUACAGUGGGUUAAGCCACCACCUAGAAAGCCUGCAUCCCAUGUUGGAGUGCCUGGGAUUGUUUCUGCCUCUGCUUCUCAUUCAGAUUCCUGCUAAUACACCUGAGAGGCAGUAGAAGAUGGUCCAGGUACUUGGGUCCCUGCUACCACGUGGGAGACAGAGUUCCUGGUUCCUGCCUUUAGUCUAGCCCAGUCCUGGCUACUGUAAGCAUUUGGAGAGUGAACCAGCAAAUGGAUGAUUUAUUUCUUUGUCUCACCCUCUCUCUAUUACUGUUUCAAAAAAUAUUUUUAAAAGAGUCAGAGCCAAUAUGACUUGCUAAACUAGAACCUACAUUGACCUUGUGUUGAAGUGCGUAAAUAAUAAAUGAUAUAAUCAGAACUAGUACUACCGAGUGGGAAACAGAAAGCCAUUUAGAGGUAGUAUAGUGACCCUUGUUAAAUAAGUCACGAACAUGUCAAUUGUUCCUUAGCACAAUCAUGCUAAGGAAAGUCAAGGUCAUGCUAACAAGAUAAAACAUGCUUUCUUCAUAGGAGACUAAGCUGCAUGGACAUUAAAAAAAAAUCAAUGCUAGAUUUGAGGACAGGAACCAACACCAGCCUUGUGAAGUGGUGACCACCAAGCGAAGAGGAGACGCCAUUUGUAUUUCACAAAAGCUGGAGGCCCUCUAAUGUGUGAGACAAAAGUAGUGUCUGCGGGCACAGGCACUCCCACCUUCUGCACAGUAAAGGAAACAAUCAACAGAAUGGAGAGACAUCCAACAGAAAGGGAGAAAAUAUUUUCAGGCCACUCAUUUGACAGAGGAUUUAUAUCCGGAGUGCAACAGGAACUCAAGAACUCCACAAUAAAAAACAACAAAUCCAGUUAAGAAAUGGGGAAAAGACCUGAAGAGACAUUUUUCAAAAGAAGAAAUACUAAUGGCCAAUAAAUGUAUGAAAAGAACAGUAAUUUGGACUGUUUGAGUUCUGUAUGAAAAUGAGUUUCCUGUACAUACAUAUGCAAAUUUUAGAUGAAUUAGAGAAUGAUUAUUCAGAGUUCCUUUUUCUUUCUUUUUUCCUUUUUUUUUUUUUUUUUUGGUUUAUCAAAAAUAAAACAAAACAUGGAAUUCCCCUAGGCGUUGUCUGAAACACAGCUAAAAUAUCCCUAAAAAAUGUAUACUUUCAGGAUUGUGUUUUCUGAAGGUAUAAAAGCCAAAUAAAAGGCCACCGCCGCGGUUUCAUAAGCUAAUCCUCCGCCUUGCGGCGCCGGCACACCAGGUUCUAGUCCCGGUCAGGGCGCAGGAUUCUGUCCCGGUUGCCCCUCUUCCAGGCCAGCUUUCUGCUAUGGCCCAGGAGUGCAGUGGAGGAUGGCCCAAGUGCUUGGGCCCUGCACCCCAUGGGAGACCAGGAGAAGCACCUGGCUCCUGCCUUUGGAUCAGCGCCGUGCGCCGGCCGCGGCGGCCAUUGGAGGGUAAACCAACAGCAAAGGAAGACCUUUCUCUCUGUCUCUCU